GAUACCCUCGCACACAGGGUAUUAUCAUGAAGACAGGGGUCAAUCUCUUCUUCACCAUUGUGUCCCUAGCAUCAAGUACAGUGAAAUGAUUCAAGAAACACAUAUUUUAUUUUUGAGAGAGGAUAAAUUUAUGAUCAGUGCAAGAAAGUUACAUAAAGAAGAAAAUUUGCUCAAAUCAAGGAAGAACUUUCCCUGUUCUCUGCCUUAAUCACUUGGAUUGGGACACCCUGCCUCCUCCUGACCUUUGAUGCUUGACUCUGAAAGGAAUGAAAAUUUGUUUGAUUCUUGGGACUCCAGCACCAGAGUGUGCCUCAUGUCCAAAAGAAGCAACCACGUCUCCACUGGGUUCAAGUUCCCACUGGUAAAGGAUUCCACUAUAGUGUAUUUGUUCCCUUGUAAAGUCUGGGUUUGCUCAAGUGUCUUCUGCCUUGAAGUCAGAGAAAGCCUGGAGCAGAGAAUGAGAAGCCCACAGUGCAGCUGAGGUAAAGUGCCAUAAGGUUACAUCUGAGUUGCGCAGUUACCAUGACAAUGACUGGAUGAAAGGGUGGGCCUGACUUUGUAGGGCUGGGUACAAGUGGUGUCUGCUGCAGCAUGGACCGUUCAGAGACGUAAGUCUUGUACUGACUUCGGUGCAUCAAACAGCCUUCAAGUGGGUGGUUGAUAAUCCUGCCUAAAAAGACCAAUAUAAAAGCAUGUGUUAGAUAAGCUAUAGACUUCAC
Molecule: long non-coding RNA, 719 nt
Filed under: Fukomys damarensis (Damara mole-rat)
Lineage: Eukaryota; Metazoa; Chordata; Mammalia; Rodentia; Bathyergidae
Description: lncRNA (ENSFDAG00000023288.1)
Source: RNAcentral